This 253-nucleotide ribosomal RNA is filed under the name uncultured bacterium. RNAcentral's name for it is "partial 16S ribosomal RNA". It matches the Rfam family "Bacterial small subunit ribosomal RNA", at positions 524 to 776 of the family's 1533-position model. The record is from RNAcentral.
UACGUAGGUGGCAAGCGUUGUCCGGAAUUAUUGGGCGUAAAGCGCACGUAGGCGGUUCGUUAUGUCGGAUGUGAAAGCCCUUGGCUUAACCGAGGAAGUGCAUCCGAAACUGGCGAGCUAGAGUACUAAAGAGGAUCGCGGAAUUCCCGGUGUAGAGGUGAAAUUCGUAGAUAUCGGGAGGAACACCGGUGGCGAAGGCGGCGAUCUGGGUAGAUACUGACGCUGAGGUGCGACAGCGUGGGGAGCAAACAGG